CUGCGAGUCAGUCAGUCAGUCAGUCAGUGAAACCUCUUGGCAACCUGCAAAUGGAGUAAAACUAAAAGUGCCUCCUUUUAACUUAAGGCAUGAUUGGCAUUGGAAGCCAGCACGUGCUGGCCCUUUCUGUGGUGUCCCUAUUAUCUCUGGGGAUGGUAUAUGUCAUCUGUUUAUGGUGUCGAAGGAAAACAAAGAUAAUACAAGAAGACAAUCAACUGUAUGAUCCACAUGCACCAACAGUGAUUCAUCGCGAGGGAAGCAGGUUUGCUGUAACCCGAUCCAAAACAGUUACAAAACCCAAUCAGAUUACCAGGAGGCUUCCACCAGAGCCAGGGUCCAUGUCGGCUGUCGAAGUAGCCGACGGCCAAUCCAGCUAUGGAAAUGUUCCAAAUGGUGAAUUUUUCUUUUCAACUUCACUGCAGUAUAUUUUCAUUAAGUGUUCAGGCCUAAUACCAUUCAUAUUUUUAAAUAUAAAAAAUCGUGUACAUCUGACAAUUACCUAAUGAGCUCAUUAUUAUGUUUCCCAUUAUGACUCAACUUGUAGUUGAUACUUUUGAGCCUACAUACGUAGAUCCGAUUCCAGGUAGUUUGCCAUUAUAUGGAAAUCUCCCAGACAUGGACCAGGUCUCCUAUGAAAACGUCUUUCCUACACCAUCCAUCGAACAUGAUUCUAAUGGAUCAGAUUAUGAAAAUUCUGACUUCUUGAGGAAAAAUGCUGACGAUCCAGAUUAUGUCAACCAAGAAGAAACCUGACCUUGCACUUUUGAAAACUACACUGUGAAACAUUUGACCUUUCAAAGCAGAAGCAGCACAGUGUUUGUUCCAGACAGGGCUCUUCUGCUGAAGCACUGCCACACACACACACACACACACACACACACACACACACACACACAAACACACCUACACACACACA
This is a long non-coding RNA of Clupea harengus (Atlantic herring), 916 nucleotides long. RefSeq lists it as uncharacterized. The record is from RefSeq and is a predicted model, not a curated record. NCBI's taxonomy places the organism in Eukaryota, Metazoa, Chordata, Actinopteri, Clupeiformes, Clupeidae. The transcript has 11 exons.